GUAAACCCAAGGUUUCCAGGGGAAGGUUCGUCCGCCCUGGGUUAGUCGGGACCUAAGCUGAGGCCGAAAGGCGUAGGUGAUGGACAACAGGUUGAUAUUCCUGUACUACCGAUAACCGUUUGAGAGAUGGGAUGACACAGUAGGAUAAGCUAAGCACACUGUUGGUUAUGUGUGCCCAAGCAUUGAGGCAGUCAAAGUAGGCAAAUCCGC
Molecule: ribosomal RNA, 210 nt
Filed under: Clostridioides difficile
Lineage: Bacteria; Bacillati; Bacillota; Clostridia; Peptostreptococcales; Peptostreptococcaceae
Description: partial 23S ribosomal RNA
Rfam family: Bacterial large subunit ribosomal RNA
Source: RNAcentral